Homo sapiens (human) is the source of this 876-nucleotide long non-coding RNA. Ensembl annotates it as PDK4 antisense RNA 1. Its record names the gene PDK4-AS1. The record is from Ensembl. NCBI's taxonomy places the organism in Eukaryota, Metazoa, Chordata, Mammalia, Primates, Hominidae.
ACUCACUGUGUUCUUGCGUGAGUCUCCUGGCUGUUAGGAAUUCUGCUGCUCAAGUGGAAAAAACAGAUUGCAAAGUACUUCAUAGAUCACCCUGUACUGAGUAUGGCAAACUGAUCAACAGCCUACUUACUGCUACAUUUAUAUUAUUUAAAAUAACUGCCAGGAUGUUGUGGCUGUGAACUGGGAAGCCUGCCAUGCUAUUAUUUUGAAAAGUGCUGUGCAAACAGUGUUCCUCUCAGAUGGUUUCCAGAGUUAGUUCCUUACAAGCAUUUCCUCUUGAAACAUCGGGAAUCUAAAUAAAGAGAAAGGUGUCUAAUGGUCUAGUCUACCAACUUCACUAUGCUGAUUUAUGAAAGAAUUGCUGAAACCCAGUGAAUAAUAGCAUUUGCCCUUCUUUCUCAAAAAAGCAGCAUUUGCUUUCUUCUGGCAAGGAAUAAUUAAGCUAAUUUCUCCAUGAACCUUGGAAAAAGUGGCAACGAAUAAUGGAUUUGUCCCUCAAAGAACAUUUCAAGCAAACAUCUUAUCAGCUACAAAUUCAUUUGAGGCAGUUCCAGGUCAGCCACAGGCAAUUUUUCUCAUUAAAAUACUGUUUAAACUGUUGUAUCCAGAUGACACAGGAGACAUAUCAGACAAACAACACCUGCAAGAAGAAUUGGUGAAGUAUUGACUUUUCAUCAAUCAAAAAGUUUACUAAGCAGAUGAAAAUAAUUUGCCUUCACAGUGACAUUUUCCUGACGUCUUGCUAGUACUUAAAGGCAUUGUUUUUUCUUUAACACCCAAACUUUAAUUACCAGAAAAGGUUAGCAUCAAAACAAAGGACAUGUUGGUAAUUUAGAGGCCAUAUCAGAAAAAUAAAUUCAUUUUGGUUUGAAUGAA